AAAAGGUGGCUAUGCUACCGCUUUUGGAUGGGCCCGCGGCGCAUUAGCUAGUUGGUGGGGUAAAGGCUUACCAAGGCAAUGAUGCGUAGCCGAACUGAGAGGUUGAUCGGCCACAUUGGGACUGAGACACGGCCCAAACUCCUACGGGAGGCAGCAGUAGGGAAUCUUCCACAAUGGGCGAAAGCCUGAUGGAGCAACGCCGCGUGGGUGAAGAAGGUCUUCGGAUCGUAAAACCCUGUUGUUAGAGAAGAAAGUGCGUGAGAGUAACUGUUCACGUUUCGACGGUAUCUAACCAGAAAGCCACGGCUAACUACGUGCCAGCAGCCGCGGUAAUACGUAGGUGGCAAGCGUUAUCCGGAUUUAUUGGGCGUAAAGGGAACGCAGGCGGUCUUUUAAGUCUGAUGUGAAAGCCUUCGGCUUAACCGGAGUAGUGCAUUGGAAACUGGGAGACUUGAGUGCAGAAGAGGAGAGUGGAACUCCAUGUGUAGCGGUGAAAUGCGUAGAUAUAUGGAAGAACACCAGUGGCGAAAGCGGCUCUCUGGUCUGUAACUGACGCUGAGGUUCGAAAGCGUGGGUAGCAAACAGGAUUAGAUACCCUGGUAGUCCACGCCGUAAACGAUGAAUGCUAAGUGUUGGAGGGUUUCCGCCCUCCA
RNAcentral lists this ribosomal RNA (653 nucleotides) under uncultured bacterium. Its description in RNAcentral is "bacterial SSU rRNA". It matches the Rfam family "Bacterial small subunit ribosomal RNA", at positions 202 to 842 of the family's 1533-position model. The record is from RNAcentral.